Long non-coding RNA from Halichondria panicea, 2887 nucleotides. RefSeq lists it as uncharacterized. The record is from RefSeq and is a predicted model, not a curated record. NCBI's taxonomy places the organism in Eukaryota, Metazoa, Porifera, Demospongiae, Suberitida, Halichondriidae. The transcript is spliced from 6 exons.
UUUUAUGCUGACUUAGCACAAAUAAUGCUGACUCAGCAGUAAAAUAACUGGAUCUAAAACCAUAAUCCUGAUCCUAGCUAGCUAGCUAUGGCUGAACGUGACAGUGCCAAGAGAAAGCUAUUUCAACAGUUUUCAACUCCUACUGCCAGUGUUGAUGUAACACCCAAGGCAGCCAACAUGAGAAGCGACCCCAGAGUCGAAUUCCCCUCAGGAGCAACACUAGAUCUAACCAGCUAGUCAUGGUUGAACACAGAGCCAAGAGAAAGCUAUUUCAACAGUUUUCAACUCCUAACUGCCAGUGUUGAUGUAAUAUGUACAGUAACACCCAAGGCAGCCAAGGCCAAGCAGCAUGAGAAGCGACCCCAGAGUCGAAUUCCCCUCAGGAGCAACACUAGAUCUAUUAAACCAGCUGGUCAUGGUUGAACACAGAGCUAGAGCUAUUGAUGAAACAAAGCAAUGUCGACAGUUGUCCACUCCUACUGCCAGUGUUUAUGUAAUAUGUACACCCGUACCCAGGGCGGCCAAGGCCAAGCAGCAUGAGAAGCGACCCCAGAGUCGAAUUCCGAGCAGCACUAACCAGCUAGCCAUGGCUGAACAUGUCGACAGAGCUAGAGCUAGUGGUGAAAGAAAGCGAUGUCGACAGUUGUCCACUCCUACUGGAAUAACACCCAAGCAGCAGGAGAAGCGACUCCGCAGUCGAAGACUUCCCCUCACAGUGAAAAACAGCACAAGCUCAGUUGCUCAACAAUCCGGUGCCUCGUGUACACCCUCUCCGGCUACUGCAUCGAAAUGGAAAUUAAAGGAAGAUAUAGCAAUUGUAAAGUUUAUUCUAUUAUCAACACCUAGCAAUAGUUGGCCUGCAAUGUCUGAGAAUUUCUGGAAGUCAGCUGCUCUGUUUGUACACCAAAGAAGCCGAGAACCAUUGCGAAGCAGUUUGGCGUGUAGCUCUCGAGUGAGGAAGGUUCUCAGCAAACACUACACAGCACCGAGGGAAGCAGAAACAGCUACACGUUCUAAACACCCUAGUACAACACCCCUCAUGACACUCCCUGCAAGAGUAUCUUCAGAGCCACGUACAAGCUCUGAGUAUCUCUUAUGUUGAUACUGGAGAAUGCCAGGUUAAUCUCGUAAUGGUUGACAAGUUUCAGAACUUCAAACGGCAGGUUCUAAACCUUCCACCUGCAGACCAGCUGAAAUUAAUCAGUGAGCUGUUUUGUGAACUCGCUACCAGCUUCUAUAAAGUUGCCGUGGAUGGUAACUUUCUUGAGUUGACACUGCUUGCAAUGAAGCACUUGGACUCAAGUGAACGUAUUGUAUCAUCUUGCCAAAGGAUUAGGUACACUCCGACCUAACUCUAACGAGUCACGCUUUCCAGUAUCAAGGAUGCCUUUUGGGUUACUUCAGUACAUGACGACUUUUUUUACUUCUACAAAUACAACUCAUGCUGUGUGUUAAGAAGGUUACGAGAAGUGGCUUGUUAGCAUGUACUCUCUAUUGGGACUAAGUUCUCAAAAAUGCUAUGUGGUCCAAUGUGGAGUCAGGUCUCAACAUCUCAAACUGGACAAGAAAACGUAGUUUUUUUGGAUCCCAUACAGGCUCGAGUGAAUGUACCUGCCCUAGGUGAGCGCACAAUGAGAAGGCACAUUGUGAAUACCCAGUUCUCUAAUUCUUGGAACAUAUUCGGUAAAUUUGAUUUUCUGAAGUUUCUUUAUAAUAUUUUUCAGAUGGCUACACUAGACCAUGCUGUAGAGGUGCAUCCUGAGGCUAAAUGGUGGAUCAAGGCUGACGGUUGUGAUAUCGUGAGUGGUUUGGAGGAGUCUGUACGGCUUGAAUGGAACGGAGAUGCUGUCCAGGAACUCUACCACAUGUAUCGUACACGUCGUUCUGCAAUUGAUAUGCUUUGCACAAACCAGUCCAUAGCUGAUAGACGUCCAGCCCACAACCAAUCAGGGUUGAAAGAUUUCAUGAGGCAUUAUAUGAUGACGAGUCUGGACUAACAUACCCAGCAUUGACAGGCCAGAGAAAACAGUCAGUCCAAGAUGCAGAAAAUCUUUUCUCUGAGGGUGUUGAACUGUUAUGAGAAAAAAUAAAUAUGAGUAUGAAGAGAAGUACGUUAGAGUCAUCAGGAAUUGGAGGCGCUCUUGUGAUGAGCGAGGUCUGUCAUCUCUCCAGAGGUCAAAGUACAACUAUGACCUCCUGAAUCUCAUUUUAGAUGAGCUGAUGCCUUGGCAUACAGCCCAGUACGACUUCAGCUUGAUGGAAGUUACAAGGAAAGUAACUGUCCUAGGAUUCACCAGGGAGAUUGUGUAUGCCCUCACCACAGGAAUCGAAAGUGUUGAAUGGAAAAGACGAGAGUACGCCCAAACUGGAAGGCCAAUGGAGAAUCCCCGCUCAAGCACUACUGAUGAUGUUGAGUGCUGUUCUCAAUCAUGAGAGAUUUGACAGGAAAGCACUUUACCUUACGGCAAGCGAGGUACACCUGGAGGAAGGUGUGCAUCGAGUUUGACAAGAGGUCAGACUCAGCUCUGGGGUUUUAUUACUUUUCUUCAUCACAUGACCGCUUUUAUGAAGGAAGCAGACCGCACUUUGACGAGAAACCUUCAAAGAGGAAGAAACGUGUUCGAAGAAAAGAACAACCAGCUCACCUUAUGUAUGGAAGAGCAACACUCCCUGAAUCUGGUGCUCGUUCAACUAGGAUGACCUUCCAUAAUUUACCCAUUCCAAUGCCACCACCACUGGAAAGCACUCAACAUCACCUAUUUGAACACUCAUACGCUCAAUAAACUUCACUCCAACAUUAUACUUCUUAUUGUGUUCAAUUAAGCAAUAAUUUAUAUGAAAAUCAAAUUAUAAUUAUAUAUACAACACAACAAGGGAUUAAAAAGAU